Molecule: ribosomal RNA, 154 nt
Filed under: Vairimorpha ceranae
Lineage: Eukaryota; Fungi; Microsporidia; Nosematidae
Description: Nosema ceranae partial small subunit ribosomal RNA
Rfam family: Microsporidia small subunit ribosomal RNA
Source: RNAcentral
GGCUCUGGGGAUAGUAUGAUCGCAAGAUUGAAAAUUAAAGAAAUUGACGGAAGAAUACCACAAGGAGUGGAUUGUGCGGCUUAAUUUGACUCAACGCGAGGUAACUUACCAAUAUUUUAUUAUUUUGAGAGAACGGUUUUUUGUUUGAGAAUGA